RNAcentral lists this ribosomal RNA (253 nucleotides) under uncultured bacterium. RNAcentral's name for it is "partial 16S ribosomal RNA". It matches the Rfam family "Bacterial small subunit ribosomal RNA", at positions 524 to 776 of the family's 1533-position model. The record is from RNAcentral.
UACGGAGGGGGCGAGCGUUAUUCGGAAUUAUUGGGCGUAAAGGGUGCGUAGGCGGCGCAGAAAGUAGGGUGUGAAAUCCCUCGGCUCAACCGAGGAACUGCGCCCUAAACUACUGUGCUCGAGGGAGGUAGAGGUGAGCGGAACUUAGGGUGGAGCGGUGAAAUGCGUUGAUAUCCUAAGGAACACCGGUGGCGAAAGCGGCUCACUGGACCUCUUCUGACGCUGAGGCACGAAAGCUAGGGUAGCGAACGGG